This 810-nucleotide long non-coding RNA is filed under the name Homo sapiens (human). RNAcentral describes it as "HSALNT0125081". Lineage: Eukaryota; Metazoa; Chordata; Mammalia; Primates; Hominidae. The record is from RNAcentral.
GGACACAAAGCCAAACCAUAUCACCACCACAUAGAAAUGAGAACUACUCAAGGUGAGAUAAGCCAUGAAUACCUAGUCUUGAUCAUUACAUAUCCUAUACAUGUAACAAAAUAUCACAUGUACCCCAUAAGUAUGUACAAAUAUUAUGUAUGUUAUAUACAUAAUCUUUCUCUCUCUCUAUCUCUUGCUCCUGCUUUUGCCAUGUGAAGUACCUGCUCCUGCUUUGCCUUCCACCAUAAAUAAAAGCUCCCUGAGGCCACCCCGGAAGUGGAAGGAUGAUGGUGCCAUGCUUGUAUUCCCUGCAGAACCGAUGAUGAAGAAGUAUCUACUCUGGAAUUACUUCGUACAAAAAAAGAAGGUGGAGAACUGUCAGAGAAAUCAAAACAAAGACCUGAUUGAAAAAAUAUGAGAAAUUAAGUGGCCAUAAAUCACUAUGUUCAAAUGGUCUUCAUCUAAAACUUCUGAAAGAGUUAAAGAAGGAUGUAGCUAAGCUACCACCAAAAAUGUAUCAACACCUUCCAUCAAAGAGGAGGGUGAUGAAUGCCCAUCAAUCUUUAAGAACAGUUCAGUGUUACUUGUAAGGUUAGGUUUUAAUAAAAAACAUGGUGUUGUCUAGAAUUAUUCAAGUCUUUAAAAAGGAGUGUAUUUGUCCCCUUGUGGAAACUGUGUACUUUUACAAUUAGUUGUUUCUGGAAAAGUUUCUCCACACAUAGCCUUUCUUUCUUGUUUUGUUUGUUCUGUUGUUGUUUUUAUUGUAAUUUUUAAGUGUUUCUACAUGAGUUUACUACCCUGAACAUUACUGAACACUGC